RNAcentral lists this ribosomal RNA (250 nucleotides) under uncultured bacterium. RNAcentral describes it as "partial 16S ribosomal RNA". It matches the Rfam family "Bacterial small subunit ribosomal RNA", at positions 355 to 597 of the family's 1533-position model. The record is from RNAcentral.
UGGGGAAUUUUGGACAAUGGACGCAAGUCUGAUCCAGCAAUACCGCGUGCAGGACGAAGGCCUUCGGGUUGUAAACUGCUUUUGUACGGAACGAAAAGCCUUCUUCUAAUACAGGGAGGUCAUGACGGUACCGUAAGAAUAAGCACCGGCUAACUACGUGCCAGCAGCCGCGGUAAUACGUAGGGUGCAAGCGUUAAUCGGAAUUACUGGGCGUAAAGCGUGCGCAGGCGGUUGUGUAAGACAGGUGUGA